GAUGAACGCUAGCGGCAGGCUUAACACAUGCAAGUCGAGGGGUAUUGGUUUUCGGACCAAGAGACCGGCGCACGGGUGCGUAACGCGUAUGCAAUCUACCUUUUGCAGAGGGAUAGCCCCAGAGAAAUUUGGAUUAAUACCUCAUAGUAUAGUACUUUGGCAUCAAGGAACUAUUAAAGUCACAACGGCAAAAGAUGAGCAUGCGUCCCAUUAGCUAGUUGGUAAGGUAACGGCUUACCAUGGCAACGAUGGGUAGGGGUCCGUGAGAGGGAGAUCCCCCACACUGGUACUGAGACACGGACCAGACUCCUACGGAGGCAGCAGUGAGGAAUAUUAGGACCAAAUGGGGCGCAAGCCUGAUCCAGCCAUGCCGCGU
Molecule: ribosomal RNA, 376 nt
Filed under: uncultured bacterium
Lineage: Bacteria
Description: bacterial SSU rRNA
Rfam family: Bacterial small subunit ribosomal RNA
Source: RNAcentral